This 225-nucleotide ribosomal RNA is filed under the name uncultured bacterium. Its description in RNAcentral is "partial 16S ribosomal RNA". It matches the Rfam family "Bacterial small subunit ribosomal RNA", at positions 63 to 305 of the family's 1533-position model. The record is from RNAcentral.
CGAACGUUAACGCACCUUCGGGUGUUAUUAAAGUGGCAAACGGGUGAGUAACACGUGGGAACGUACCUUUCAGUCUAGGAUAGCCCCGGGAAACUGGGAUUAAUACUGGAUAUUCUCUACGGAGGAAAGAUUUAUCGCUGAAAGAUCGGCCCGCGUUAGAUUAGCUAGUUGGUGGGGUAAUGGCCUACCAAGGCGACGAUCUAUAGCUGGUCUGAGAGGAUGAUC